Molecule: ribosomal RNA, 971 nt
Filed under: Escherichia coli
Lineage: Bacteria; Pseudomonadati; Pseudomonadota; Gammaproteobacteria; Enterobacterales; Enterobacteriaceae
Description: partial 23S ribosomal RNA
Rfam family: Bacterial large subunit ribosomal RNA
Source: RNAcentral
CAUAGGUUAAUGAGGCGAACCGGGGGAACUGAAACAUCUAAGUACCCCGAGGAAAAGAAAUCAACCGAGAUUCCCCCAGUAGCGGCGAGCGAACGGGGAGGAGCCCAGAGCCUGAAUCAGUGUGUGUGUUAGUGGAAGCGUCUGGAAAGGCGCGCGAUACAGGGUGACAGCCCCGUACACAAAAAUGCACAUAUUGUGAGCUCGAUGAGUAGGGCGGGACACGUGGUAUCCUGUCUGAAUAUGGGGGGACCAUCCUCCAAGGCUAAAUACUCCUGACUGACCGAUAGUGAACCAGUACCGUGAGGGAAAGGCGAAAAGAACCCCGGCGAGGGGAGUGAAAAAGAACCUGAAACCGUGUACGUACAAGCAGUGGGAGCCUCUUAAUGGGGUGACUGCGUACCUUUUGUAUAAUGGGUCAGCGACUUAUAUUCUGUAGCAAGGUUAACCGAAUAGGGGAGCCGAAGGGAAACCGAGUCUUAACUGGGCGUUAAGUUGCAGGGUAUAGACCCGAAACCCGGUGAUCUAGCCAUGGGCAGGUUGAAGGUUGGGUAACACUAACUGGAGGACCGAACCGACUAAUGUUGAAAAAUUAGCGGAUGACUUGUGGCUGGGGGUGAAAGGCCAAUCAAACCGGGAGAUAGCUGGUUCUCCCCGAAAGCUAUUUAGGUAGCGCCUCGUGAAUUCAUCUCCGGGGGUAGAGCACUGUUUCGGCAAGGGGGUCAUCCCGACUUACCAACCCGAUGCAAACUGCGAAUACCGGAGAAUGUUAUCACGGGAGACACACGGCGGGUGCUAACGUCCGUCGUGAAGAGGGAAACAACCCAGACCGCCAGCUAAGGUCCCAAAGUCAUGGUUAAGUGGGAAACGAUGUGGGAAGGCCCAGACAGCCAGGAUGUUGGCUUAGAAGCAGCCAUCAUUUAAAGAAAGCGUAAUAGCUCACUGGUCGAGUCGGCCUGCGCGGAAGAUGUAAC